GGGUAGUUACCAGAGAGGUCAAAUGGGGCUGACUGUAACUCAGCUGGUGUAUACCUUCGGUGGUUCGAAUCCAUCACUACCCA
Molecule: transfer RNA, 83 nt
Organism: Candidatus Azobacteroides pseudotrichonymphae genomovar. CFP2
Lineage: Bacteria; Pseudomonadati; Bacteroidota; Bacteroidia; Bacteroidales
Rfam family: tRNA
About the family: Transfer RNA (tRNA) molecules are approximately 80 nucleotides in length. Their secondary structure includes four short double-helical elements and three loops (D, anti-codon, and T loops). Further hydrogen bonds mediate the characteristic L-shaped molecular structure. tRNAs have two regions of fundamental functional importance: the anti-codon, which is responsible for specific mRNA codon recognition, and the 3' end, to which the tRNAs corresponding amino acid is attached (by aminoacyl-tRNA synthetases). tRNAs cope with the degeneracy of the genetic code in two manners: having more than one tRNA (with a specific anti-codon) for a particular amino acid; and 'wobble' base-pairing, i.e. permitting non-standard base-pairing at the 3rd anti-codon position.
Source: Rfam